RNAcentral lists this ribosomal RNA (664 nucleotides) under Coelocraera mirifica. RNAcentral's name for it is "eukaryotic LSU rRNA". It matches the Rfam family "Eukaryotic large subunit ribosomal RNA", at positions 402 to 810 of the family's 3401-position model. The record is from RNAcentral. Lineage: Eukaryota; Metazoa; Arthropoda; Insecta; Coleoptera; Histeridae.
AAACCGUUCAGGGGUAAACCUGAGAAACCCGAAAGUUCGAAAGGAGAGAUUCACCGCGACUCGUGCGUCGGCGCGAACGGUUACGGACGUCGAUCGGAUUUCGGUUCGAUUGUGCGCCGUGACUAUUCCGCUGUAGGCGUGCGAUCGUGUGCACUUCUCUCCCGGUAGGACGUCGCGACCCGUUGGGUGUCGGUCUACGAUCGAAGGUGGAGUCCGUGUGGACGAUUCACGUCGUCCUCGCGAACCCUUCGCAUCCGGCCGGCUCGCUCGACGGUAGUAGAAGAAGGCGCGGGGCCGCGACUAGUUCGCGUCCGGUCCGUCGCAAGCGUGUUCGGUAAUUCGGUGCUCGGUGGCCUCGCGUCCCCGGUCCCGGAUCCGAGCUACUGUUGGCGACGGUUUUCUCGGACAGACUCCGUAUACACGCCUGUCUGCGACGCUAUUGCUUUGGGUACUUUCAGGACCCGUCUUGAAACACGGACCAAGGAGUCUAGCAUGCACGCGAGUCUUAGGGACUCUUAAACGAAACCUGAAGGCAAAAUGAAAGUGAAGGUCCGCCUUGCGCGCGACCUAGGGAAGAUGGGAAGUCCGUUCACGCGGACGACCCCGCAUUCCCGGGGCGUCUCGAUCUCAUUGCGAGAUGAGGCGCACCCAGAGCGUACACGCU